GUCAGUUCUAAGUUUUGAGAGUUACCUGAGUGAGUUGAGAAAAGGUUAACUAUCUAAUGGUUAAACUUAAAGAGAAAGAUACGGGCUCAAAACCUUUUCCCGUCAUCUUGGUAGGAAAUGACAAUCUGGGCGAAGAUGGUUGCUCUGACAAUAGAAAACCAGAAAGAACUGGCAGAAAACAAAGUUGCAUAUGGGGUAGAUAUGAUUAGUAAAUAUCCCCAAAUCACCAAUUCUGACCUUCUCAACAUUACCGACACUUCUAAAAAACUGGACGUUUUACUUCAAAUGAAGAAACAGUGGGAUAACUCACUCUUCUUCCAAAUAUGCUGUUUUGAGUAAAUACAGCUUAAGAAUCUCUCUGACAUAUUGUUACCAUGUUACUGUGUGCUGUAAAUGCAACAGACUGGUUAAAGAUCAAGUCCUAACCGCAACCAUGUAUUUCCUUUGUUUUAUAUAUUUAGGUCAGAUGCUAAACAUAGCUUUAACAUAUUUUCUUUGUGGUUUAAUUUCCUUUGUGAUUAUUUCUUUUAUUUAAUGGGAGUGUAAAAAUGUCCCAAGGACUAAAAAACAAAUUGCAGCUCAUUUUUAACAUAGGCAUUAGGAGGUAGUCCGUUAGCUUGCCUUUGGGUCAAGCUUUCAGGAUCAUUUCGGGUUAAAAAUCCAACAGUGAGACAUUUACAUUUUCUUAACAAAACAGAGGGGACUAUAUUCAUGUGGUGUUCUUUCAUACCCCCUUGGGCCUGAGUUUUAUAACAAACAAGGAAUGAGAAAAUGUGGGCUUCAUAGUGACUCUCAGUGAUUCUCUGGUCUGCACCUCCCUAGAGAUGCCUAUGAGGCGCCUGCAAGUGGCACCACCCCACAGCUCAUAAUGACUCCCUGGAGGUGUGGAGGGAUUCCUGGACAUGUAAGAAGGAAAGGCAAACUAAGUCAUCAGGGCAGCACCCCAGGACCACCGUGAACUUCACAGCGGUGCAAAGAGUGAUGUGUGUCUAUCUCCUAAGUGUUAAAGCUGCAAAGAAGUUUUUCAUUACUAUCCAGCUUAUUAAUGUGUGUUUGCUUCUGGCACUUCAUUCAGUUUGCACCCUGAUAGUGAACAGGUCUGUUUUAAUGUUGCCAGAUGACUGCCUUCAGCAACAAGGAUCAUAUGCUUUCUCAUUCACAUCAGGAGGGAGAAAGGGAGCCACAGCACACAAUUUUGGGGCAAAAGUUCAAUGAUUGGUGUUCAAUCCCACUCCAUUUGUGGGCCAAGGGAACAUCAUGGGUCAGGAUUAUCCUGAUUGGAUUAACUUUGGGAUAAGGAUGAGGUUAAUUCCACCUAAACUUCUGAGGCGUGUCCUGCACAAUGUGGAAAGAAUGAAACAGAUUUUGAGAAGGCAGAAAAAAUAUAGGAAAGAACUGAAGAUGUAUUCCAGGUUUCUGAUGCCAUUCAAAGAUGUAGGGGAUUCAGGAGGAAGGUGGUACACUUGCCGAUAAGAAAGAAACACUACAACUUAGUACUGUUGCAGUCACCCACAGAAAUAAGAUGGGUGCCCUCCUAAAAUUUGGUUCACCUUUCAAGAUUUCUGAUACCAUGCAUCACAAGAGAGUGUAAGUUUAUAAGUCACAAAAUGAGAAUUUCUAGGAAGAGGAGGGCAGGCUUUCCAAACAAAUCCAACAUGGCGGGGAGAGGAUGCAGGGAGGUUGGGAGAAAGACUGGCCUUUGGGGAUUUUAUGGUGACUAGGGCUUGAUACUAGGGUGAAAAUUCCUACACAGAGGCCACAACUUGUGUGGCUUGAAUUACCCACCGGCACCAAAGAAGGGAGCACCCAGGAUUUCUUAUCAGCCUGCCCAGAUGUAGGGCAAGAGGGAAUGGAUGAAAGAUUGAAAGUUGUCAACCAUCAAACUGCCAAACAUCAACUAUGGAGUCGGAGUCUUUAUUACCUGUGUUUAGAGUUUUAUUUAUUCCGACAAGAAAAUAAUAUAAUUUUUAUAUGUUUAUAUGCUUUGAAAAUGAUUUUAUUGGACAUUUGCUUUCUCAAUAUUUGUUUGCCAAUUUCAUGACUACCACCUCAACUCAAGCUUCCAUAAUUCUUCAUUCUAGCUAUCAGUCUUCUAACUGGUUUCUUUGUUUUUCCAGAGAAAAACCUAUUCCCUGUCUAAUAACCCAUCCUGUGCACUGCUGCUGAAGGAAUUCUCCCCAACCCUGCUUAAACAAUCCAUUAGUUUUCUACUGCCUUCAGAAUAGAUUUCAAACUCCUUAGCGGUUUAUAAAAUUCUUCAUCCAUCUUGACCUACCUAUAGUUCCCAUUUCUCCUGCCACAUUCCCACACAUCACAUCAUCUUUGCUUCCAUUAUAUCUCCCUACACACGACACUUACCUCCACAGUUCCUAGUCAAGGAGAUACAUACCAAGGUACGGGUACUUUUGUUGGAAACACACUUCGUUUCUUUUUAGGUUGUCCAAAUCCUUUGGAUUAUUCAAGACUCAUCUUAAGCUUUACUUUUUAUGAGAAGUACUUCCUGUUUAACACAGGUUGAAUAUGGUGCUCCUCCUCCACAUUUUAAUAAUAAUCUUGAUUUCAGUGCUGGUUAUUACACUAUUUUAUUGUCUACAUCUUUCUCCAAACUUGAUCCUCUUGGGGGUAAGGAACCGUGUUUCUGAGCUCAGAAGGUCACAAUCUAUUAGGAUAAUGGGCCUGUAGCCUGCAGAUAUAUACAUAACAAAGAUAAAUAAUAAUGCCAGAUGGCUUAUGAAAAAUACUCUGACAAGAAAUAGAGCCAUAAGUUCUAAUAUUCUUAAGUUCUAAGGAGAUAAGAGGCACUAUAGAGAAAUUAGGACCUUCAUACAUUGCUAGUAGGAAUGUAAAAAUUGUACAGCCAUUUUGGAAAACAAUCUGGCAGUUUCUCAAAAGGUUAAGCAUAGAAUUAGCAUAUGAGACAGCAAUUUUAUUCCUAGGUAUAUAUAGCCAUGAAAAUAUUAUCUUGACACAAUAACUUUGUAUGAAUGUUCAUAGAAACGUUAUUCCUAAUACCCUCAAAAUGGAAACAACCCAAAUGUUCACCAUUGUAUGGACAAAUGAACUUUGAAAAUCUGAUGUGAAGUGAAGGCAGCCAGAAAAGACUACCUGUUACAUGAUCGCAUUCAUAUGAAAUGUCCAGAACAGGCAAAUCUAAAGACAUAAAGUGGAUUAGUGCUUGUCUAGGCCAAAGGGGCAGGGAAUAGGAGGGAUGAAGUGUGACUGACAAAAGGCAUGAGGUAUCUUUUUGAGGUGACAAAAAUGUUCUGAGGUUGAUUGUGGUGAUGGUUGAACAAUUCUGUAAAUAUACUAAAACCCACUAAAUUUAUACUUAAUAAAAAAGAAAGAGCACAGAUUACUGUGUGAAGGAGAGAAAGACUUCACAGAAUUGGUGAAAUUUGGAUUCAGUGAUGAACAAAUGAUGUGAAAAGCAGAGGCAGUGUGCUGUAGGGAAAUCAACAAAUGCUUUCAUUGGGCAGAACUGGCUUGGAAUCCUGCUCUGCCACUUGGUCAAAUUACCCUCUCUAGGGAUAGCCCGGGUGGCUCAGCGGCUUAGUGCUGUCUUUGGCCUGGGGCAUGAUCCUGGAGACCUGGGAUCGAGUCCCACGUCAGGCUCCCUGCAUGGAGCCUGCUUCUCCCUCUGCUUGUGUCUCUGCCUCUCUCUGUUUCUCUCAUGAAUAAAUAAAUAAAAUCUUAAAAAAAAAAUUACCCUCUCUAGCUCUUUAGCAUUGUUUCCCCCUUUAUCCUUACCAAAAAAGUGAAUAUAUUAAUGUAAUAUAUUAAUGUAAUUACUUCGGAGGAUGUGAUGACAAAUCAGAUAAUAGAUUUAAAAUAUUUAGCCAGGCACAUAAGAUAAUUAUGGCAGGCACAUAGCAAGUAUUUAAUAAAUAUCAGCUUCUAUUAUUAUGUUCGUUUAAUUAAUCUUAAAUAUUGGAUUAGGUGGGACAGAGGAAACAUAUAGAUCUAUCAAUGAAAACUCUCAGAAACUCAUCUGAGGUUCCAGUUGAAAGGGAUAUGAGAUACAAAAUGAUAUAAAGGUAAUUGUACUCAGUUUAAGAAACGUUUAUUAAAUACCUUUCUUUUAAUCACUAAAAACUGUGAUAUUGCUGCAUAUACAAAGACUAAUAAGUAGAUUGAGAUACAUACAAAUGAAAAGCAGUCUCUGAUGUGGUGGUGUAGUAGAUGGGUAAAUAAAUUUGUUUAAGGAAGCAUCAUACUUGCUAUAAGAGAAACUUGUUCACUGUGCACAUGACGAUGGAGGACAGAAAAACUGGAUAUAGAAGAGUGACAUUUGUUCUCAACUACUCACUAACCACUUAAGCCUGCACUAACUGGAGAAUUGUUAGGAUUCCUUGCUGACAUUUUCCACCUCGAGUACACAGCAGAGAUUAUUAAAGGCUUGAGCUGAUUUUGUUCAGUGGAAAGAUGAGAAAAAUAACAUCCAAAAUGUUAAAGAAUGCCUGUUAAUUUGAUGACUGUGAAUAUUCCAGAGACUUAUGCCCAAAGUUCCCAGAUUACUUGUCUAUCUUUCUUACUAGACUAUAAACUCCUUGCAGGCAAACAUCUUGAAUGUAUCUGGUCCAUUCUCCAAUUGCCAGCAGGCCAAGUAUACAUUUAAUAAAAAAUUGUUAAAUGAGUGUUCCUCAAAUCCCUCCCUUGUCAAAAAUGGAAGACUCUUUAACGAGUGACCAGCCAGUUGACUGUUUAACAGUUACACUUUGAAAUGGACAACCCCCCCCCCAAAAAAAAACAACCCCUAUAUAAUCAUGUUUCCUUUCAAAUAAAACCCUGACAGUUAUGUCAUUCUCUUUUCUUUUCCUUCAGGAGGAAUUAUUUGAUUGAAGGCUUGGAAAAAAGUGGGUGGCUUGGCAGCUGAAAAUAAACUCCCUCUGAAACAAAGAUGGCAUGUAUAAAUUGCUGUGAUCUGGAGCUGAGGCCAAGAACAAAAAAUAAUUCUUGAGCAGUCUUCCCCUUAAUGUCAUAGGGUCUGGAGAGGCUCUGGGCUUCGGUGCAUUCCGUUGCACGCAAAGAUGAACUGGAACCGUUCUCCAGUCAACUGUUUCUUGAGCACUUACUACCUGUCAGGCAUUUAGCUAAGAUGGUUGUUGUUGUUGUUGUUGUUUUUUUUAAUUGAACUCUGCCUGGAGGUGGUGAAAACAUCAGGCGGGGCUUUUCUCAGCAACAAUCCUGCAGAAUCCCAGAGGGGAGUAUCAUUUUGGGGGGAGGGUUUUAUCUGCAUGCAUUAGGCGUAGCCACUGGGCCUGUCACUCGUGAGGAAGGAGAAGCUGAAGCUAACAGGAGGCGCUUCCUGCGUCCCCCUCCUUUGCAGAAGGCAACCCCCGGUGGGCUGCUCUAGCCAUUGGAGGGAGGCGUGGCUUUAAGGAGGCGUGGCUCUAAA
This 5395-nucleotide long non-coding RNA is filed under the name Canis lupus familiaris (dog). RNAcentral describes it as "lncRNA (ENSCAFG00000053966.1)". Lineage: Eukaryota; Metazoa; Chordata; Mammalia; Carnivora; Canidae. The record is from RNAcentral.